RNAcentral lists this ribosomal RNA (253 nucleotides) under uncultured bacterium. Its description in RNAcentral is "partial 16S ribosomal RNA". It matches the Rfam family "Bacterial small subunit ribosomal RNA", at positions 524 to 776 of the family's 1533-position model. The record is from RNAcentral.
UACAGAGGUCUCAAGCGUUGUUCGGAUUCAUUGGGCGUAAAGCGCACGUAGGCGGCUUUGUAAGUUAGAGGUGAAAGCCCGGGGCUCAACUCCGGAAUUGCCUUUAAGACUGCAUCGCUAGAAUUGUGGAGAGGUAAGUGGAAUUCCGAGUGUAGAGGUGAAAUUCGUAGAUAUUCGGAAGAACACCAGUGGCGAAGGCGACUUACUGGACACAUAUUGACGCUGAGGUGCGAAAGCGUGGGGAGCAAACAGG